AACGAACGCUGGCGGCAUGCCUAACACAUGCAAGUCGAACGAGACCUCCGGGUCUAGUGGCGCACGGGUGCGUAAGGCGUGGGAACCUUCCCUUAUGUUCGGAAUAACUCUCCGAAAGGGGUGCUAAUACCGGAUAAUGUCUUCUGACCAAAGAUUUAUCGCCUUUGGAUGGGCCCGCGUUGGAUUCGCUCGUUGGUAGGGUAAAAGCCUACCAAGGCGACGAUCCAUAGGUGGGCUGAGAGGAUGAUCAGCCACACUGCGACUAGGACACGGCCCAGACUCCUACGGGAGGCAGCAGUGGGGAAUAUUGGAAAAUGGGCGGAGGCCUGAUCCAGCAAGGCCGCGUGAGUGAUGAAGGCCUUAGGGUUGUAAAGCUCUUUUACCCGGGAUGAUAAUGACAGUACCGGGAGAAUAAGCUCCGGCUAACUCCGUG
Molecule: ribosomal RNA, 433 nt
Filed under: uncultured bacterium
Lineage: Bacteria
Description: partial 16S ribosomal RNA
Rfam family: Bacterial small subunit ribosomal RNA
Source: RNAcentral